This 203-nucleotide unclassified non-coding RNA is filed under the name plant metagenome. RNAcentral describes it as "partial contains small subunit ribosomal RNA and internal transcribed spacer 1". The stretch from base 1 to 46 matches the Rfam family "Eukaryotic small subunit ribosomal RNA", at positions 1786 to 1831 of the family's 1831-position model. The record is from RNAcentral.
CGGUCGUAACAAGGUUUCCGUAGGUGAACCUGCGGAAGGAUCACUAGUGAAUACAUCGGGGAGCGUCUUAACUGACCUCCCCCAACCCUUCACAAUCCACAUACACCUGUGCACUGUUUUGGCUUUUGAGCAAUCGAAAGCCAAUCAUUUUAUACAAACCCCUAGUUUAAUGAAUGUAACCGUUUUAUAUAAACAAAAUAAAA